UAAUAAAGUGUUUUAUGGCACUUUUCAACAAUCCAUAUCCACCUUGUGUGCAAUGUCAGUCGAUCUUCUUCAUGGAGAUCGACCAAACAUCAACCUUUAUCUUUUAACUCUUUGUCUGAAAAAUAUUAUGAAUAAACAAUUCAAAAUA
This 148-nucleotide unclassified non-coding RNA is filed under the name soil metagenome. RNAcentral describes it as "partial internal transcribed spacer 1". The record is from RNAcentral.